RNAcentral lists this ribosomal RNA (468 nucleotides) under uncultured Magnetospirillum sp. Its description in RNAcentral is "bacterial SSU rRNA". It matches the Rfam family "Bacterial small subunit ribosomal RNA", at positions 84 to 587 of the family's 1533-position model. The record is from RNAcentral. Lineage: Bacteria; Pseudomonadati; Pseudomonadota; Alphaproteobacteria; Rhodospirillales; Rhodospirillaceae.
AGCAAUACGGAGUGGCGCACGGGUGAGUAACGCGUGGAUACCUGCCCCUUGGUGGGGGAUAACGCCGGGAAACUGGCGCUAAUACCGCAUACGCCCUUAGGGGGAAAGAUUUAUCGCCGAGGGAGGGGUCCGCGUCCGAUUAGCUAGUUGGUGAGGUAACGGCUCACCAAGGCGACGAUCGGUAGCUGGUCUGAGAGGAUGAUCAGCCACACUGGGACUGAGACACGGCCCAGACUCCUACGGGAGGCAGCAGUGGGGAAUAUUGGACAAUGGGGGCAACCCUGAUCCAGCCAUGCCGCGUGAGUGAUGAAGGCCUUAGGGUUGUAAAGCUCUUUCGGCGGGGACGAUGAUGACGGUACCCGCAGAAGAAGCCCCGGCUAACUUCGUGCCAGCAGCCGCGGUAAUACGAAGGGGGCUAGCGUUGUUCGGAAUUACUGGGCGUAAAGGGCGCGUAGGCGGUCUUGCACG